ACCCCAAAUAAGCCCUAAUUUCCAAAACCCUAUUCAAUUUACUCACUCCCUGAGCCGAGUCCCCAAACGUUUUCUCCCAAUUUCUGAGAUCUGCGCAGAACCCUAAACCCCAUUGCCGAUUAAGCUGCGAAUUCAGUCAAAAUGUCGAUGUCGAAGAGUUCUAAGAUGCUUCAAUACAUCAAUUAUCGUAUGCGUGUUACUAUCCAAGAUGGCCGUCAAUUGAUCGGUAAGUUUAUGGCAUUUGAUCGACAUAUGAAUCUUGUACUCGGCGAUUGUGAAGAGUUUCGUAAGCUUCCUCCUACUAAAGGUUCUAAGGAAGAACGUGAAGAUCGCCGUACACUUGGUCUUCUUCUUCUCAGAGGUGAAGAAGUUAUUUCCAUGACUGUUGAAGGUCCUCCACCUCCCGAUGAUUCUCGUGUUAAAGCUACUGCUGGUGGUGUUUCUGCUGUUCCUGGACCUGGGUUGGGUAGGGCUGCUGGUCGGGGUGUUCCGACUGGUCCGAUGGUUCAUGCUCAGCCGGGUCUUGCUGGUCCUGUUCGUGGGGUUGGUGGACCUGCACCGGGAAUGAUGCAGCCGCAGAUUUCUCGUCCGCCGAUUAAUUACCCGCCGCAGCCUCCUCCUCCUAUGGUUCGACCACCUGGUGGUGGACCUCCACCGCCAAUGCAAAUGCAAAUGCAAAGACCUGGUGGCCCACCUAUGCCACCGCCGCCACAGUUCAGGCCUGGUGGGCCUGGACCAUUUCCGCCUCAGUUUGGUCAGAGGCCCAUGGGACCACCACCGCCACAGAUGAUGAGAGGUCCUCCACCACCGGGGGCGCAGCCACCAAGACCGGGAAUGCCUGGUGGACCACCUCAUCCGGGGAUGCCUCCACCACCUCCUGGUGGACAAGUUCCAGUCUUUGGACCUCCUCGCCCAGGAAUGCCACCUCCUCCAAAUGCACCUCAUCAGCAGAAUCAGCAGCAGUAGAAUCUAUCAUUUCAUGGAAGAUGGCCUAUAUAUGUAAUACUCGCAAAAUAUGAUGAACACCUUUUUCUCCUUGAAAGAUCACCUGUCUCUGAUCAUUUGGUUUUUGCACUGAAGAUGGUGCGCUGUUAUGAUGUUAUCUCUCGAUGGAUCUGGAAGGUGUGAAUGGAAAUUGCUCUGGUUUUGAAUAUAUAGUGAUAUAGGUUUUGGACAGACAGAGGGCUUGCUCUGUAAAGGUCAAGUAGUCAUUAGCUUCUCGUGCUUACCUCAAUGAUGGUUAUCUUAGAUCCUUUUUCCAGCACUCAGCUACGGAUUUGGUGUUGUGAUCAAACUAAGGCUAUAUUUGAUGGUGGUAGAGUGAUAUUUGCUUUCAAAGAGCUUGUAGUUGUGCGAAAUAGGAGACUUUAAACUAAUGUUCUUAGCAGUAUUUGUCAAACUUCCUGUCUUUUGAUUUUCAAAAUUGCUUUCUGCUAUGACUUAAUGAAGAUUUCAGUGGGUUCAUUCAA
RNA transcript from Solanum pennellii, 1469 nucleotides. It is a transcript of the gene named small nuclear ribonucleoprotein-associated protein B' pseudogene, with no coding region annotated. The record is from RefSeq and is a predicted model, not a curated record. Lineage: Eukaryota; Viridiplantae; Streptophyta; Magnoliopsida; Solanales; Solanaceae. The transcript has 4 exons.